Molecule: long non-coding RNA, 811 nt
Organism: Carassius auratus (goldfish)
Lineage: Eukaryota; Metazoa; Chordata; Actinopteri; Cypriniformes; Cyprinidae
Exons: 3
Source: RefSeq, a predicted model, not a curated record
GUGCAUCAUCUCUGUGAUUUGGAAAGGAAAUGACUGAAUAUGAUGAAGCCAGUUGAUGAAGAUAUCAAUUGAAUGGCCACCGAGUGCAUCACUGCUACCUGAACCCAUCAGUUAUCUUCUGUGAAGACUGCAUUCACAAACCGCUCUACUGCGACAGCUCAGAUGUUACGGCCUGUAAAAGUAAACAUCACAGCUAAACAACGAGAGCUAGUUGUGGUGGGAUUCUUUUGGCCAAUAUCCCCAACAAGAAUCAAUGACAUCUAGACCAGGUGGAGUGUGAGGAGGACCGUCAGAGACUCCAGCCAGCCGAGCCAUGGAUUGCUCUCACUGUUACCAUCAGGCAGACGUUAUCACAGAACCUACACCAGCAGACAGUGAGACAAGUUCCUUUCACAGGCAAUCAGACUGAACUGAACUCAUACCAGUAAAACCAUACACACCCCACCAACCUCAUAUGCCCUGCACUCUUAUCAGUUAUGCUGACUGGACUCAAUAUUAUUAUUCACCCUGACAUUCUGUUUGCACUAAUUCAUACCGUGCUUUACUGCAGAGAUGUAUGUGUACUGUGAUUAUUAUUGUUUUCAAUUCAUGCUCUCUGUAUAGCAUAAUUUUUAACAUAUAUUGUUCUCUACCUGAAUUGAGUCCCUUAUAUAUGUGUGUUGCAUAUAUAUAUUCAGAAUUUGUAUUACAUAUAUUCAUGAUUUUAAUUCAUUUGUCAUCCAUACUGUCACGCUGCAGUCUGCACCCAAGACUUUCAUCACCUGUAUACUUUUGUUCAUUGUAUUGUGACAAUAAAGAUAUUUGAUUUAAA